UACGAAGGGGGCUAGCGUUGCUCGGAAUCACUGGGCGUAAAGGGUGCGUAGGCGGGUCUUUAAGUCAGGGGUGAAAUCCUGGAGCUCAACUCCAGAACUGCCUUUGAUACUGAGGAUCUUGAGUUCGGGAGAGGUGAGUGGAACUGCGAGUGUAGAGGUGAAAUUCGUAGAUAUUCGCAAGAACACCAGUGGCGAAGGCGGCUCACUGGCCCGAUACUGACGCUGAGGCACGAAAGCGAUGGGGAGCAA
RNAcentral lists this ribosomal RNA (249 nucleotides) under uncultured bacterium. Its description in RNAcentral is "partial 16S ribosomal RNA". It matches the Rfam family "Bacterial small subunit ribosomal RNA", at positions 524 to 771 of the family's 1533-position model. The record is from RNAcentral.